This is a long non-coding RNA of Vicia villosa (hairy vetch), 515 nucleotides long. RefSeq lists it as uncharacterized. The transcript is spliced from 2 exons. The record is from RefSeq and is a predicted model, not a curated record. Lineage: Eukaryota; Viridiplantae; Streptophyta; Magnoliopsida; Fabales; Fabaceae.
GGAUGAAGAUGAUGAUUCGGAGAGAGUGGAGAGAAUUGGAUGAUGAAGAUGGUGGAGGAUUGAAGAAUGGAAGAGGAAGCCCUGAAUAAUCGUGGAGAUGUUGAAUAUAUAGUGUGUAUUGCUACUGUUGUGAAUAUAAACUUUACUGCUUCUGGAUGAUUAGGCUAUAUGAAUGCGGUAGGUUUCAAGUUGCCGAACCGGGCUUCUCAUGGCUUCUUUGCAGCAGGUGGAGUUAUGGUUGGAGGAUGGUGUUUGUGACGUGAAGACGGUUGGAGUAACAGGCUGCGACGGUCACCCUUGGAGCUUGACGAAAGUGAGACGGUUUGGAAGACAUGAUGUAAUAGGUUUAGGAUUUUUGUGUAAUUCACUUUUUGUGACAAAUUGUAUGGACAUGUAUUGUAAUGGAUUCGGUGAACACUAGAAUGAAGCCUCUUUUUUUUUUUGUAAUAUGGCUUGUAAUGGAAUUGUAAAACUUAAUGAGACGAACUCUAGUAUUUUUGUAGUUUUCAAUGGAA